RNAcentral lists this ribosomal RNA (425 nucleotides) under Chlorarachnion reptans. RNAcentral describes it as "partial Eukaryotic small subunit ribosomal RNA". It matches the Rfam family "Eukaryotic small subunit ribosomal RNA", at positions 1 to 440 of the family's 1831-position model. The record is from RNAcentral. Lineage: Eukaryota; Cercozoa; Chlorarachniophyceae.
ACCUGGUUGAUCCUGCCAGUAGUCAUAUGCUUGUCUCAAAGACUAAGCCAUGCAUGUCUAAGUAUGAACAACUUUAUACUGUGAAACUGCAGAUGGCUCAUUAAACCAGAAAUAAUUUUUUUGAUGGUGACAAACUACAUGGAUAACCGUGGUAAUUCUAGAGCUAAUACAUGCGUCGACACCGCAAGGUGGUAUUUAUUAGAUCCGAACCAGCCCCUUCGGGGUUUCUUGGUGAAUCAUGAUAACUGUUCGUAUCGCCAGGCUCUGCCAGGCGAAAGUUCAUUCAAAUUUCUGCCCUAUCAGCUAUUGACGGUAGUGUAGUGGACUACCGUGGCUUUAACGGGUGACGGAGAAUUAGGGUUCGAUUCCGGAGAGGGAGCCUGAGAAACGGCUACCACAUCUAAGGAAGGCAGCAGGCGCGCAAA